This 301-nucleotide ribosomal RNA is filed under the name uncultured bacterium. Its description in RNAcentral is "partial 16S ribosomal RNA". It matches the Rfam family "Bacterial small subunit ribosomal RNA", at positions 509 to 807 of the family's 1533-position model. The record is from RNAcentral.
CAGUCGCCGCGGUAAUACAUAGGGUGCGAGCGUUAAUCGGAUUUACUGGGCGUAAAGCGUGCGUAGGCGGCUAAUUGAGUCGGAUGUGAAAUCCCCGAGCUUAACUUGGGAAUUGCAUUCGAUACUGGUUAGCUAGAGUGUGGGAGAGGAUGGUAGAAUUCCAGGUGUAGCGGUGAAAUGCGUAGAGAUCUGGAGGAAUACCGAUGGCGAAGGCAGCCAUCUGGCCUAACACUGACGCUGAGGUACGAAAGCAUGGGGAGCAAACAGGAUUAGAUACCCCCGUAGUCCCUGUCUCUUAUAC